This 497-nucleotide ribosomal RNA is filed under the name uncultured bacterium. RNAcentral describes it as "partial 16S ribosomal RNA". It matches the Rfam family "Bacterial small subunit ribosomal RNA", at positions 28 to 507 of the family's 1533-position model. The record is from RNAcentral.
GAUGAACGCUGGCGGCGUGCCUAAUACAUGCAAGUUGAGCGAACAGACGAGGAGCUUGCUCCUCUGACGUUAGCGGCGGCCGGGUGAGUAACACGUGGAUAACCUACCUAUAAGACUGGGAUAACUUCGGGAAACCGGAGCUACUACCGGAUAAUAUAUUUAACCGCAUGGUUCAAUAGUGAAAGACGGUUUUGCUGUCACUUAUAGAUGGAUCCGCGCCGCAUUAGCUAGUUGGUAAGGUAACGGCUUACCAAGGCAACGAUGCGUAGCCGACCUGAGAGGGUGAUCGGCCACACUGGAACUGAGACACGGUCCAGACUCCUACGGGAGGCAGCAGUAGGGAAUCUUCCGCAAUGGGCGAAAGCCUGACGGAGCAACGCCGCGUGAGUGAUGAAGGUCUUCGGAUCGUAAAACUCUGUUAUUAGGGAAGAACAAAUGUGUAAGUAACUAUGCACGUCUUGACGGUACCUAAUCAGAAAGCCACGGCUAACUACGUG